GAGAACAUAACCUUGGUUUUGAACACAAAACACAUGGGACUUGGCCUGGGUGGCGAUACACUGGCAUUCACCCAGGUCUCGGCAAUAUCACAAUACAUCACAUUAACGCACCCGGGUUAUGCCUGCGCGAUCAUCACAAGAACAAUCAAUCAAGUCAUACACAACGCAGUUUUACUAUUCAUGUAUCAAUUCAGCUUAAAUGUUCAGACUUUUGUAUCACUUAUACCAUUUUACAAUUUAUAUAUCACCAGUAUCAUCACUGUUUGUCUACAUUAUAACUCAAGCUUCACCAACAUCAUCACAGUCCAUGCAUCAUCGUAACAUAAUUCACUAGAAUCAUCAGUAUCCACACCAUUCCAACUCUAUCAGUCACACUGAAUCGAAAUUUCAUUUCACUCCACACACCAUUUGAUGUUCACCCAAUAAAAUGUCCCAACAGGUCAGCAGGGCCAUUUCACAGCAUUCCAGGAUCUGAAUACCUGCAACCACCUUUUUGAUCCG
Non-coding RNA from Paramuricea clavata, 501 nucleotides. The record is from the annotation of a GenBank genome assembly. Lineage: Eukaryota; Metazoa; Cnidaria; Anthozoa; Malacalcyonacea; Plexauridae.